AGGGAUUGCCCUAGUAACGGCGAGUGAAGCGGCAACAGCUCAAAUUUGAAAUCUGGCUCUCGGGCCCGAGUUGUAAUUUGUAGAGGAUGUUUCUGGCGACGUGUCUUCCGAGUUCCCUGGAACGGGACGCCAUAGAGGGUGAGAGCCCCGUCCGGUCGUACGCCUAGCCUCUGUGAAACUCCUUCGACGAGUCGAGUAGUUUGGGAAUGCUGCUCAAAAUGGGAGGUAUACGUCUUCUAAAGCUAAAUACCGGCCAGAGACCGAUAGCGCACAAGUAGAGUGAUCGAAAGAUGAAAAGCACUUUGAAAAGAGGGUUAAAUAGUACGUGAAAUUGCUGAAAGGGAAGCGCUCAUGACCAGACUUGGGCUCGGUGAAUCAUCCGGCGUUCUCGCCGGUGCACUUUGCCGGCCCAGGCCAGCAUCAGCUCGCCUCGGGGGAUAAAGGCUUCGGGAAUGUAGCUCCCUCGUGGAGUGUUAUAGACCGUUGCGUAAUACCCUGGGGCGGGCUGAGGUACGCGUUCUGCAAGGAUGCUGGCGUAAUGGUGCUCCAUG
RNAcentral lists this small RNA (551 nucleotides) under Waltergamsia fusidioides. RNAcentral's name for it is "eukaryotic LSU rRNA". It matches the Rfam family "Eukaryotic large subunit ribosomal RNA", at positions 70 to 642 of the family's 3401-position model. Lineage: Eukaryota; Fungi; Ascomycota; Sordariomycetes; Hypocreales; Bionectriaceae. The record is from RNAcentral.